UGCAGAUUUCCCUGUCCUAGUGUGGAGGCACAGGGGUUCCACCAGGGCGCCGCCCAGCCUGUGCCACCACUCUCAGAUGCCGCCGGCCCUCCACUGCGUUUGCGUCUGAAAGAAGGGGCCCUUCAUCUUGGUACAACUCACGACAGAACUGGGGUCCUCUCCAGGGCUUCACCACGUAGCCGGCAUCCUGGCAGGUCUCGGUCAAGGCCGACAUGUGGGCACACAGCGUCUGCUGCAGCCCCUGGAAAUUACACAUGUCAAACACGCAGUUGUCAAAGAAGGAAGAGGCCCUGAGGUGAGGCAGGCAGGCCCUGAGGAGAGAGGCCAGGUCAGAAGGAAUGAGGGGGCAGAACUUCCCGCCUCCUGCCACGGAGGACCUGGUCCCCCCGCCAUGGCCCUUCCAGUCCCCCCACCCCGGGCCCCCGCACAUACUCAAAAGCUCCGUGAGCGACCGUGAGCCGUCCACAGAACUCUGGCCCUGACACAGUGUUCUGCAAGGCAGUGUCGCAAGGUGGGGGAGAUGCCUGGUUCUCCUGGCACCUGGAAGAGACCCACCCCAAACGCCCUAAGGACCGAGGCUCACCUCCACGCCCAGCCCGCCCCAGCAGUCUCCCGGCUCUCGGCAUCCCCUAGUGGAGAACAUCUGAACACCAAGAGGUGGGAAAACUUGGAGCCGGGCAAGCAAGAGGCGGGGCUGCCCACAAUCGCCUGGGGAUGACUGACUGGUGGUGGGGCUGGGGGUGAACGUGGUGGCAAUGAACUCUGCUGGGAAUGGGAGUGGGGAGAAGAAUGACAGACGUGGGGGUGUGCAGCAGAGGAGAAAAGGGGUGAUGCCAGUCGGGGUUCUUGGUUCCUCAAAGGGGCAAAGGAGCAGGAGGGUGGAGACGGAGGCGGGGAGGCCCUCACUCGUGGUCUUCAUCCUCCGAGGCCUGCCAGCUGCUACCCAGCUCCAUCUCAUCUCGCGCUGGUCUACCAUCCGGCUUCCGGUUGUCGUUGCUACUGUCUCCAUCAUAGUUGCCACAGAAACCGCAGAGUUUGCCAGAACCGAAUGCCGUCUGCAGCUGCACAGAUCGCCCACUUGGAGUCAGGAAGACACCUUUAGAAGGUAUGGCUGGGAGGGUGACUCGCUGACCCCCAACCUGGAAGGCGGGGCCGAGGGAGGAGACAGAGAGACAGAUCCGGGGGUCAAGGAGGACCCCCAGCGGACUCCCAGAUCCCCACCGCCACGCUAAUGACCUCUUCUGCUCCACGUGGAAUGCUCUGGAGGAGAUGGGCGGGACAAGGCCACAGCCAAGGCCGGCAGCCCUGCAGGGCUGAGAACGGACUCACCAGCGUGUGUCUGCCCUUGAGCAGGGUGAUGGUGGUUUCGGGCAGAGUCACGUAGACCUUGCUCAGGCAGGACACGCCCUCCUGUCCUCGCUCCUCAUUCUUCA
Molecule: long non-coding RNA, 1433 nt
Filed under: Monodon monoceros (narwhal)
Lineage: Eukaryota; Metazoa; Chordata; Mammalia; Artiodactyla; Monodontidae
Description: lncRNA (ENSMMNG00015008979.1)
Source: RNAcentral